RNAcentral lists this ribosomal RNA (253 nucleotides) under uncultured bacterium. Its description in RNAcentral is "partial 16S ribosomal RNA". It matches the Rfam family "Bacterial small subunit ribosomal RNA", at positions 524 to 776 of the family's 1533-position model. The record is from RNAcentral.
UACGUAGGUGGCAAGCGUUGUCCGGAUUUACUGGGUGUAAAGGGCGUGUAGCCGGGCUGACAAGUCAGAUGUGAAAUCCGGGGGCUCAACCCCCGAACUGCAUUUGAAACUGUUGGUCUUGAGUAUCGGAGAGGCAGGCGGAAUUCCUAGUGUAGCGGUGAAAUGCGUAGAUAUUAGGAGGAACACCAGUGGCGAAGGCGGCCUGCUGGACGACAACUGACGAUGAGGCGCGAAAGCGUGGGGAGCAAACAGG